This is a non-coding RNA of Enterococcus villorum ATCC 700913, 187 nucleotides long. NCBI's taxonomy places the organism in Bacteria, Bacillati, Bacillota, Bacilli, Lactobacillales, Enterococcaceae. The record is from Rfam.
GUCCAUAUGCUAUAAUAGUUGAGACAGUAAAGUUUAAUGGCGGUGGCUAUCCAUUCGAGAGUGAGGUGGUGCGUAUGCACAUAAUCUCAAACUUUAAAGAAAGGAGACGCCUUUUGUCUGUUGAAACAGCGUUAGGGCUAAUGAUUAGUUUCGGUUCGUUUACCGCAACUUUGAUCUUUGGCAUUCU